RNAcentral lists this transfer RNA (77 nucleotides) under Clostridia bacterium. Its description in RNAcentral is "tRNA-Arg". It matches the Rfam family "tRNA". From Rfam's summary of the family: Transfer RNA (tRNA) molecules are approximately 80 nucleotides in length. Their secondary structure includes four short double-helical elements and three loops (D, anti-codon, and T loops). RNAcentral also lists the same sequence under 2 other names. Lineage: Bacteria; Bacillati; Bacillota; Clostridia. The record is from RNAcentral.
GCACCGCUAGCUCAGCUGGAUAGAGCGUCUGUCUACGGAACAGAAGGUCGAGCGUUCGAAUCGCCCGCGGUGCACCA